Molecule: ribosomal RNA, 204 nt
Filed under: Nectriaceae sp.
Lineage: Eukaryota; Fungi; Ascomycota; Sordariomycetes; Hypocreales; Nectriaceae
Description: partial large subunit ribosomal RNA
Source: RNAcentral
AAGCGUUUAUGACCAGACUUGGGCUUGGUUAAUCAUCUGGGGUUCUCCCCAGUGCACUUUUCCAGUCCAGGCCAGCAUCAGUUUUCCCCGGGGGAUAAAGGCUUUGGGAAUGUAGCUCUUCCGGGAGUGUUAUAGCCCGUUGCACAAUACCUCUGAGGGGACCGAGGUUCGCGCUCUGCAAGGAUGCUGGCGUAAUGGUCAUCA